GGUUAAGUGACUAAGCGUACACGGUGGAUGCCUAGGCAGUCAGAGGCGAUGAAGGGCGUGCUAAUCUGCGAUAAGCGUCGGUAAGGUGAUAUGAACCGUAAUAACCGACGAUACCCGAAUGGGGAAACCCGGUGCACUUUGGUGCAUCAUUGCAACAUGAAUACAUAGUGUUGCAAGGCGAACCUGGGGAACUGAAACAUCUAAGUACCCAGAGGAAAAGAAAUCAACCGAGAUUCCCCCAGUAGCGGCGAGCGAACGGGGAACAGCCCAGAACCUGAAUCAGUUUGUGCAUUAGUGGAAGCGUCUGGAAAGUCGCAGGGUACAGGGUGAUACUCCCGUACACAAAAAUGCACUUGCUGUGAGUUCGAUGAGUAGGGCGGGACACGUGACAUCCUGUCUGAAUAUGGGGGGACCAUCCUCCAAGGCUAAAUACUCCUGACUGACCGAUAGUGAACCAGUACCGUGAGGGAAAGGCGAAAAGAACCCCGGCGAGGGGAGUGAAACAGAACCUGAAACCGUGUACGUACAAGCAGUGGGAGCACCUUCGUGGUGUGACUGCGUACCUUUUGUAUAAUGGGUCAGCGACUUAUAUUCUGUAGCAAGGUUAACCGUAUAGGGGAGCCGAAGGGAAACCGAGUCUUAACUGGGCGUUAAGUUGCAGGGUAUAGACCCGAAACCCGGUGAUCUAGCCAUGGGCAGGUUGAAGGUUGGGUAACACUAACUGGAGGACCGAACCGACUAAUGUUGAAAAAUUAGCGGAUGACUUGUGGCUGGGGGUGAAAGGCCAAUCAAACCGGGAGAUAGCUGGUUCUCCCCGAAAGCUAUUUAGGUAGCGCCUCGUGAACUCAUCUUCGGGGGUAGAGCACUGUUUCGGCUAGGGGGCCAUCCCGGCUUACCAACCCGAUGCAAACUGCGAAUACCGAAGAAUGUUAUCACGGGAGACACACGGCGGGUGCUAACGUCCGUCGUGAAGAGGGAAACAACCCAGACCGCCAGCUAAGGUCCCAAAGUCAUGGUUAAGUGGGAAACGAUGUGGGAAGGCACAGACAGCCAGGAUGUUGGCUUAGAAGCAGCCAUCAUUUAAAGAAAGCGUAAUAGCUCACUGGUCGAGUCGGCCUGCGCGGAAGAUGUAACGGGGCUAAACCAUGCACCGAAGCUGCGGCAGCGACGCUUAUGCGUUGUUGGGUAGGGGAGCGUUCUGUAAGCCGUCGAAGGUGGCCUGUGAGGGCUGCUGGAGGUAUCAGAAGUGCGAAUGCUGACAUAAGUAACGAUAAAGCGGGUGAAAAGCCCGCUCGCCGGAAGACCAAGGGUUCCUGUCCAACGUUAAUCGGGGCAGGGUGAGUCGACCCCUAAGGCGAGGCCGAAAGGCGUAGUCGAUGGGAAACAGGUUAAUAUUCCUGUACUCGGUGUUACUGCGAAGGGGGGACGGAGAAGGCUAUGUUAGCCGGGCGACGGUUGUCCCGGUUUAAGCAUGUAGGCGGAGAGUUUAGGUAAAUCCGGACUCUUUUUAACGCUGAGGUGUGAUGACGAGGCACUACGGUGCUGAAGUAACAAAUGCCCUGCUUCCAGGAAAAGCCUCUAAGCAUCAGGUAACACGGAAUCGUACCCCAAACCGACACAGGUGGUCAGGUAGAGAAUACCAAGGCGCUUGAGAGAACUCGGGUGAAGGAACUAGGCAAAAUGGUGCCGUAACUUCGGGAGAAGGCACGCUGGCGCGUAGGUGAAGGGACUUGCUCCCGGAGCUGAAGCCAGUCGAAGAUACCAGCUGGCUGCAACUGUUUAUUAAAAACACAGCACUGUGCAAACACGAAAGUGGACGUAUACGGUGUGACGCCUGCCCGGUGCCGGAAGGUUAAUUGAUGGGGUUAUCCGCAAGGAGAAGCUCUUGAUCGAAGCCCCGGUAAACGGCGGCCGUAACUAUAACGGUCCUAAGGUAGCGAAAUUCCUUGUCGGGUAAGUUCCGACCUGCACGAAUGGCGUAAUGAUGGCCAGGCUGUCUCCACCCGAGACUCAGUGAAAUUGAACUCGCUGUGAAGAUGCAGUGUACCCGCGGCAAGACGGAAAGACCCCGUGAACCUUUACUAUAGCUUGACACUGAAUAUUGAACCUUGAUGUGUAGGAUAGGUGGGAGGCUUUGAAGCGUGGACGCCAGUCUGCGUGGAGCCAACCUUGAAAUACCACCCUUUAACGUUUGAUGUUCUAACCUGGCGCCGUGAUCCGGCGUGGGGACAGUGUCUGGUGGGUAGUUUGACUGGGGCGGUCUCCUCCUAAAGAGUAACGGAGGAGCACGAAGGUUAGCUAAUCACGGUCGGACAUCGUGAGGUUAGUGCAAUGGCAUAAGCUAGCUUGACUGCGAGAGUGACGGCUCGAGCAGGUGCGAAAGCAGGUCAUAGUGAUCCGGUGGUUCUGAAUGGAAGGGCCAUCGCUCAACGGAUAAAAGGUACUCCGGGGAUAACAGGCUGAUACCGCCCAAGAGUUCAUAUCGACGGCGGUGUUUGGCACCUCGAUGUCGGCUCAUCACAUCCUGGGGCUGAAGUAGGUCCCAAGGGUACGGCUGUUCGCCGUUUAAAGUGGUACGCGAGCUGGGUUUAGAACGUCGUGAGACAGUUCGGUCCCUAUCUGCCGUGGGCGCUGGAAGAUUGAGAGGGGUUGCUCCUAGUACGAGAGGACCGGAGUGAACGCACCACUGGUGUUCGGGUUGUCAUGCCAAUGGCAUUGCCCGGUAGCUAAGUGCGGAAAAGAUAAGCGCUGAAAGCAUCUAAGCGCGAAACUUGCCUCGAGAUGAAUCUUCCCUGGGCCUUUAAGGCCCCUGAAGGGACGUUGAAGACUACGACGUUGAUAGGCCGGGUGUGUAAGCGCAGCGAUGCGUUGAGCUAACCGGUACUAAUGACCCGUGAGGCUUAACCUUACAACACCAGAAGCGUUCUG
RNAcentral lists this ribosomal RNA (2928 nucleotides) under Erwinia billingiae. RNAcentral's name for it is "LSU rRNA". It matches the Rfam family "Bacterial large subunit ribosomal RNA". The record is from RNAcentral. Lineage: Bacteria; Pseudomonadati; Pseudomonadota; Gammaproteobacteria; Enterobacterales; Erwiniaceae. RNAcentral also lists the same sequence under 1 other name.